CUAGUAACCUGGAAAAUUUUCUGGAAAAUAUGGGCAUAGAGCUCACAGAAGAUAAAGGCAUGGAACUAUUGAACAAUCUUCCAGUUGAUGCCAAAAGAAGAGUGUAUAUGAAUAGGUUGAUGAAAGAAUUGAGGUCUCUUGAAGGGACAAAGGUAUCUUCAGAUAAAGUGGACAUUUGCCUUAAAAACAUGGGAAUUGAACUCACAGAGGAAGAAAUCCAGGAACUAAAGGACCACCUACCAGUUGAUGGUGAGAGUUUUGAUAUCAAUAUACCCCUUAGCAAAACUUUGGAUAUGAGGCCAGUGUCAGGGCUGGAA
Molecule: long non-coding RNA, 317 nt
Filed under: Bos indicus x Bos taurus (hybrid cattle)
Lineage: Eukaryota; Metazoa; Chordata; Mammalia; Artiodactyla; Bovidae
Description: lncRNA (ENSBIXG00005003669.1)
Source: RNAcentral